RNAcentral lists this transfer RNA (85 nucleotides) under Spartobacteria bacterium. RNAcentral's name for it is "tRNA-Leu". It matches the Rfam family "tRNA". From Rfam's summary of the family: Transfer RNA (tRNA) molecules are approximately 80 nucleotides in length. Their secondary structure includes four short double-helical elements and three loops (D, anti-codon, and T loops). Lineage: Bacteria; Pseudomonadati; Verrucomicrobiota; Spartobacteria. The record is from RNAcentral.
GCGGGCGUGGCGGAACUGGCAGACGCGCAGGUCUUAGGAGCCUGUGGAGCAAUCCGUGUGGGUUCGAGUCCCUCCGCCCGCACCA